GUACCAGAUGACUUAGACAUCUCGAACGUUUCUGUUCUAUAUGAUGUUGACGAGCCUACUGUUCGAAGUCUCAAUGGCUGCAGGGUUGCUGAUCAAAUUCUUAAGCUUGUUCCCAAUGUUGAGCAUUUUCGCACAACACUCCGGUGUUUGAAGUUGUGGGCUAAAAGACGUGGUGUUUAUUCCAACGUGACUGGGUUUCUCGGUGGUGUGAACUGGGCCAUUCUUGUUGCUCGAGUGUGCCAACUUUAUCCUAAAGCAAUUCCUAGUAUGCUUGUUUCUAGAUUUUUUAGGGUCUAUACACAGUGGCGCUGGCCAAACCCUGUUAUGCUGUGCCCAAUUGAAGAGGAUGAACUUGGAUUUUCCGUUUGGGAUCCCCGUAAAAAUCCUCGUGACCGAACUCAUCAUAUGCCAAUAAUAACCCCCGCCUAUCCAUGCAUGAAUUCGAGCUACAUCAACAAGUACACUACGUGUCAUGAUGGAGCAGUUCCAGCAUGGUAACAAGAUCUGCGAGGAGAUAGAGCUGAAUAAAUCCCAAUGGAGUACUCUGUUUGAGCCACAC
This 559-nucleotide unclassified non-coding RNA is filed under the name Hevea brasiliensis (rubber tree). Lineage: Eukaryota; Viridiplantae; Streptophyta; Magnoliopsida; Malpighiales; Euphorbiaceae. The record is from RNAcentral.